UCGGCCGCCAUUUCUCUUCAAAUAACAAAAGCAAAUAAUAAAAAAAAACAAGAAGAGCUAAAACCAGCAACAGUCUGCAAUAAAAUGCUUCUAUUUAAUAACAGUUCUCAAUCUUCAUCAACAGUAUAACAAAAAAUCUGCUAAGAUUCCCAUUUGAAAAUAGCAAAAGGCACUAACUUUAACGACCACAAAGAUAUCUGAGAAUUUUUACCUUUGCAUCCCCAGCUUCAGGAGCUCAUCGAUGGCGGAAUCCAAAUUG
Molecule: unclassified non-coding RNA, 259 nt
Filed under: Hevea brasiliensis (rubber tree)
Lineage: Eukaryota; Viridiplantae; Streptophyta; Magnoliopsida; Malpighiales; Euphorbiaceae
Source: RNAcentral